UGGUACCUUGCUACUUGGAUAACCGUAGUAAUUCUAGAGCUAAUACAUGCAGGAAUUCCCGACUUCGGAAGGGAUGUAUUUAUUAGAUAAGAAACCAAACCGGUCUCCGGUUGUGUGCUGAGUCAUAAUAACUGCUCGAAUCGCACAGCUCUACGCUGGCGAUGGUUCAUUCAAAUUUCUGCCCUAUCAGCUUUCGAUGGUAGGAUAGAGGCCUACCAUGGCGUUAACGGGUAACGGAGAAUUAGGGUUCGAUUCCGGAGAGGGAGCCUGAGAAAUGGCUACCACAUCCAAGGAAGGCAGCAGGCGCGUAAAUUGCCCGAAUCCUGACACAGGGAGGUAGUGACAAGAAAUAACAAUACAGGGCUCUCUGAGUCUUGUAAUUGGAAUGAGUACAAUUUACAUCUCUUCACGAGGAUCAAUUGGAGGGCAAGUCUGGUGCCAGCAGCCGCGGUAAUUCCAGCUCCAAUAGCGUAUAUUAAAGUUGUUGCAGUUAAAACGCUCGUAGUCGGAUUUCGGGGCGGGGCCGCCGGUCUGCCGAUAGGUAUGCACUGGCGGGCGCGUCCUUUUUCCCGGAGACGGCUGCUACUCUUAACUGAGCGGUGGUCGGAGACGGGAUGUUUACUUUGAAAAAAUCAGAGUGUUUCAAGCAGGCAGUCGCUCUUGCAUGGAUUAGCAUGGGAUAAUGAAAUAGGACUCUGGUGCUAUUUUGUUGGUUU
RNAcentral lists this ribosomal RNA (716 nucleotides) under uncultured eukaryote. Its description in RNAcentral is "SSU rRNA". It matches the Rfam family "Eukaryotic small subunit ribosomal RNA", at positions 125 to 850 of the family's 1831-position model. The record is from RNAcentral.